Molecule: ribosomal RNA, 727 nt
Filed under: uncultured organism
Description: SSU rRNA
Rfam family: Bacterial small subunit ribosomal RNA
Source: RNAcentral
AAUACAUGCAAGUCGAGCGGACGAUUCAACAUCUUGCUUUUGAAUCGUUAGCGGCGGACGGGUGAGUAACACGUGGGCAACCUGCCCUGUAGACGGGGAUAACACCGAGAAAUCGGUGCUAAUACCGGAUAACACGGAAGACCGCAUGGUUUUUCGUUGAAAGGCGGCGCAAGCUGUCGCUACAGGAUGGGCCCGCGGCGCAUUAGCUAGUUGGUGAGGUAACGGCUCACCAAGGCGACGAUGCGUAGCCGACCUGAGAGGGUGAUCGGCCACACUGGGACUGAGACACGGCCCAGACUCCUACGGGAGGCAGCAGUAGGGAAUCUUCCGCAAUGGACGAAAGUCUGACGGAGCAACGCCGCGUGAGCGAAGAAGGCCUUCGGGUCGUAAAGCUCUGUUGUUAGGGAAGAACAAGUACCGCAGUCACUGGCGGUACCUUGACGGUACCUAACGAGAAAGCCACGGCUAACUACGUGCCAGCAGCCGCGGUAAUACGUAGGUGGCAAGCGUUGUCCGGAAUUAUUGGGCGUAAAGCGCGCGCAGGCGGUUCCUUAAGUCUGAUGUGAAAGCCCACGGCUCAACCGUGGAGGGUCAUUGGAAACUGGGGGACUUGAGUGCAGAAGAGGAGAGCGGAAUUCCACGUGUAGCGGUGAAAUGCGUAGAGAUGUGGAGGAACACCAGUGGCGAAGGCGGCUCUCUGGUCCUGUAACUGACGCUGAGGCGCGAA